Molecule: ribosomal RNA, 537 nt
Filed under: uncultured Acidobacteriota bacterium
Lineage: Bacteria; Pseudomonadati; Acidobacteriota
Description: bacterial SSU rRNA
Rfam family: Bacterial small subunit ribosomal RNA
Source: RNAcentral
UUGAUCCUGGCUCAGAAUCAACGCUGGCGGCGUGCCUCAGACAUGCAAGUCGAACGCGAAAGUUCCCUUCGGGGGGCGAGUAGAGUGGCGCACGGGUGAUUAACACGUAGGUAAUCUACCUUUGGGUGGGGAAUAACUCAGGGAAACUUUAGCUAAUACCGCAUAAUGCAGCGGCUCGACAUCGAGACAGUUGUUAAAGUGGGGGACCGGAGCAAUCCGACCUCGCGCCUGAAGAGGAGCCUGCGGCAGUUUAGCUAGUUGGUAGGGUAAUGGCCUACCAAGGCAACGAUCUGUAACCGUCCUGAGAGGGCGGUCGGUCACACUGACACUGACAUACGGGUCAGACUCCUACGGGAGGCAGCAGUCGGGAAUUUUGGGCAAUGGGCGAAAGCCUGACCCUGCAACGCCGCGUGAAGGAUGAAAUUUUUCGGAAUGUAAACUUCGCAAGAUUGGGAAGAAUAAGUAGGGGACAAUACCCCCUAUGAUGACGGUACCAUUUUUAAGCUCCGGCUAACUCCGUGCCAGCAGCCGCGGUAU